AUUGAACGCUGGCGGCAGGCCUAACACAUGCAAGUCGAACGGUAGCACAGAGAGCUUGCUCUCGGGUGACGAGUGGCGGACGGGUGAGUAAUGUCUGGGAAACUGCCCGAUGGAGGGGGAUAACUACUGGAAACGGUAGCUAAUACCGCAUAACGUCGCAAGACCAAAGUGGGGGACCUUUGGGCCUCACACCAUCGGAUGUGCCCAGAUGGGAUUAGCUAGUAGGUGGGGUACUGGCUCACCUAGGCGACGAUCCCUAGCUGGCCUGAGAGGAUGACCAGCCACACGGGAAACGAGCCACGGUCCAAACUCCUACGGGAGGCAGCAGUGGGGAAUAUUGCACAGUGGGCGCAAGCCUGUUGCAGCCAAGCUGCGUGUAUGAAGAAGGCCUUCGGGUUAUAAAGUACUUUCAGCGGGGAGGAAGGCGGUGGAGUUAAUAACUUCACCGAUUGACGUUACCCGCAGAAGAAGCACCGGCUAACUCCGUGCCAGCAGCCGCCGUAA
This 504-nucleotide ribosomal RNA is filed under the name uncultured bacterium. RNAcentral's name for it is "partial 16S ribosomal RNA". It matches the Rfam family "Bacterial small subunit ribosomal RNA", at positions 30 to 523 of the family's 1533-position model. The record is from RNAcentral.